GGCACUGUAGCUCAGUUGGUAGAGCACAUGCUUAACAUCUGACAGAUGAUGGUUCGCAUGUUGUCGUCGGUUCGAGCCCGGCCAGAGUCA
This 90-nucleotide transfer RNA is filed under the name Puccinia graminis f. sp. tritici CRL 75-36-700-3. Its description in RNAcentral is "tRNA-Val for anticodon AAC". It matches the Rfam family "tRNA". From Rfam's summary of the family: Transfer RNA (tRNA) molecules are approximately 80 nucleotides in length. The record is from Rfam by way of RNAcentral. Lineage: Eukaryota; Fungi; Basidiomycota; Pucciniomycetes; Pucciniales; Pucciniaceae.